Molecule: ribosomal RNA, 585 nt
Filed under: uncultured bacterium
Lineage: Bacteria
Description: bacterial SSU rRNA
Rfam family: Bacterial small subunit ribosomal RNA
Source: RNAcentral
CCUACGGGAGGCAGCAGUGGGGAAUUUUGGACAAUGGGCGCAAGCCUGAUCCAGCAAUGCCGCGUGAGUGAAGAAGGCCUUCGGGUUGUAAAGCUCUUUUGUCAGGGAAGAAACGGCUGAGGCGAAUACCUUUGGCUAAUGACGGUACCUGAAGAAUAAGCACCGGCUAACUACGUGCCAGCAGCCGCGGUAAUACGUAGGGUGCAAGCGUUAAUCGGAAUUACUGGGCGUAAAGCGUGCGCAGGCGGUUUUGUAAGUCUGACGUGAAAUCCCCGGGCUCAACCUGGGAAUUGCGUUGGAGACUGCAAGGCUGGAGUCUGGCAGAGGGGGGUAGAAUUCCACGUGUAGCAGUGAAAUGCGUAGAGAUGUGGAGGAACACCGAUGGCGAAGGCAGCCCCCUGGGUCAAGACUGACGCUCAUGCACGAAAGCGUGGGGAGCAAACAGGAUUAGAUACCCUGGUAGUCCACGCCCUAAACGAUGUCUACUAGUUGUCGGGUCUUAAUUGACUUGGUAACGCAGCUAACGCGUGAAGUAGACCGCCUGGGGAGUACGGUCGCAAGAUUAAAACUCAAAUGAAUUGACGG